RNAcentral lists this ribosomal RNA (508 nucleotides) under uncultured bacterium. RNAcentral's name for it is "partial 16S ribosomal RNA". It matches the Rfam family "Bacterial small subunit ribosomal RNA", at positions 28 to 507 of the family's 1533-position model. The record is from RNAcentral.
GACGAACGCUGGCGGCGUGCCUAAUACAUGCAAGUCGAACGCUUCUUUCCUCCCGAGUGCUUGCACUCAAUUGGAAAGAGGAGUGGCGGACGGGUGAGUAACACGUGGGUAACCUACCCAUCAGAGGGGGAUAACACUUGGAAACAGGUGCUAAUACCGCAUAACAGUUUAUGCCGCAUGGCAUAAGAGUGAAAGGCGCUUUCGGGUGUCGCUGAUGGAUGGACCCGCGGUGCAUUAGCUAGUUGGUGAGGAAACGGCUCACCAAGGCCACGAUGCAUAGCCGACCUGAGAGGGUGAUCGGCCACACUGGGACUGAGACACGGCCCAGACUCCUACGGGAGGCAGCAGUAGGGAAUCUUCGGCAAUGGACGAAAGUCUGACCGAGCAACGCCGCGUGAGUGAAGAAGGUUUUCGGAUCGUAAAACUCUGUUGUUAGAGAAGAACAAGGACGUUAGUAACUGAACGUCCCCUGACGGUAUCUAACCAGAAAGCCACGGCUAACUACGUG